CGAACGAGCAGGCGACGGGCGAGCAGCAAGCGGAGCAGCAGCCCGGGCGGCAGCAGCGUCGCGGCGGCGGCGGCAGCGGCCGCUCCGCGCCUCGCCUCACUGGCCUCGCCGGCCUCACCUCGCCGCUCCCAGACCCGCCACCCCCGCCUCCCCGCCCGACCUCCGCAGCCCCCCGUCUCGGCCGGCAGCGCCCACCGCCUGCCCGAAGCGAGGAGCGGAGUGCGGGGCGCAGAGGCACCGGAGCCAGUGCCCGCCGGCCCCGCAAAUCAAACCCAGCCAGGAGAACCCCCGCCUGGCCCCGCGCAGCUCCGCGACCGCCGGGAGCUGUCCCUUCAGCACCGCCGUGGGAGCCCGAGUCCGAGCGCAGCCCGGCGGAACCCCCAGCUCGAGCCCGGGCUCACGGAGAGCAGCGCUCGGCGUUAGCCGCACGAGCAACACCCCGGGUGCCCCUGCCCAGGGGGCCCGCCAUCUCCUCCAGGAGGCGGGGAGAAGGAACGAGGAGGGCGGGCGGGCAGGCGGGCCCGCCGCCGGGGGGAGCAGGCAGCCAAGCAAGGAGAGAGGGAGGGGGCAGGAGCCCGCCCUGCGUCCCGAGCUGCAGCCCGGCCACGCAGGGAGGAAGGCAGGCGGCAUCCAUCUCCCCAGCGCCGAGAGCGCGCCCCGGCGACCACCGCACAGAGGAGCGUGAAUUUCCCGGCCCCGUCUCCUCCCCUCCCCCUCUUGGGGGCUGGCCUGUAGUCCGGCCCGGGGAGCGGCUGACCUUUCCCCGAAAAGCUUUGUGCCGACUUCUCCAUUUUCCCGCGGAGAUGGGGACGGGAGCCCGGCCCCCCAACCCUCUUUCCCCACCUCCCAGGGCUCACCGCUGAGCCCGCCCCCCUCCCUAUUCCCCCCUCCAUCCCUCCCUUUCUCCCUCCCAUCUUUCCUCCUCUGCCUCCUCCGCUGCCGGACCAGCUCCCUCCCACAUCUGGCUCCUAGAGACCCCUGGGAUCCCGCGCACAUUCCCCUGGACCGGCACCCGACAGAAAGCGCCCGGAGAGGCUUGGCUCGCUCGUUGGGGUGGCCAGAGCCGCGGGCCUCUGUUCCCCCCGACGGCUGGGGGGAGGGGGGAAGAGGGCGCGCGCCCCCCUCCCCGGCGCCAACUCCCCCUGGCGGCCGCUCCCAUGGGUGUCGCUGGGCCGCGCCAUGCCUAAGGGGGCGCCGCGAUGGGCCAAGGGGACGAGAGCGAGCGCAUCGUGAUCAACGUGGGCGGCACGCGCCACCAGACGUACCGCUCGACCCUGCGCACGCUGCCCGGCACGCGGCUCGCCUGGCUGGCGGAGCCCGACGCCCACAGCCACUUCGACUAUGACCCGCGUGCCGACGAGUUCUUCUUCGACCGCCACCCCGGGGUCUUCGCGCACAUCCUGAACUACUACCGCACGGGCAAGCUGCACUGCCCGGCCGACGUGUGCGGGCCGCUCUACGAGGAGGAGCUGGCCUUCUGGGGCAUCGACGAGACCGACGUGGAGCCCUGCUGCUGGAUGACGUACCGCCAGCACCGCGACGCCGAGGAGGCGCUGGACAGCUUCGGCGGCGCUCCUCUGGACAACAGCGCCGACGACGCGGACGCCGACGGCCCCGGCGACUCGGGCGACGGCGAGGACGAGCUGGAGAUGACCAAGCGCCUGGCGCUCAGUGACUCCCCGGAUGGCCGGCCUGGCGGCUUUUGGCGCCGCUGGCAGCCGCGCAUCUGGGCGCUCUUCGAGGACCCGUACUCAUCCCGCUACGCGCGGUAUGUGGCCUUCGCUUCCCUCUUCUUCAUCCUGGUCUCCAUCACCACCUUCUGCCUGGAGACCCACGAGCGCUUCAACCCCAUCGUGAACAAGACGGAGAUUGAGAACGUUCGCAAUGGCACGCAGGUGCGCUACUACCGGGAGGCCGAGACGGAGGCCUUCCUUACUUACAUCGAGGGCGUCUGUGUGGUCUGGUUCACCUUCGAGUUCCUCAUGCGUGUCAUCUUCUGCCCCAACAAGGUAGAGUUCAUCAAGAACUCGCUCAACAUCAUUGACUUUGUGGCCAUCCUGCCCUUUUACCUGGAGGUGGGGCUGAGCGGCCUGUCCUCCAAGGCAGCCAAGGACGUGCUGGGCUUCCUGCGCGUCGUCCGCUUCGUGCGCAUCUUGCGCAUCUUUAAGUUGACCCGCCACUUUGUGGGCCUGCGGGUCCUGGGCCACACGCUCCGAGCCAGCACCAACGAGUUCCUGCUGCUCAUCAUCUUCCUGGCCUUGGGCGUGCUGAUCUUCGCCACCAUGAUCUACUACGCCGAGAGGAUAGGGGCACAGCCCAACGACCCCAGCGCCAGUGAGCACACGCACUUUAAGAACAUCCCCAUCGGCUUCUGGUGGGCCGUGGUCACCAUGACGACCCUGGGCUACGGAGACAUGUACCCGCAGACGUGGUCCGGCAUGCUGGUGGGGGCCCUGUGUGCGCUGGCAGGCGUGCUCACCAUCGCCAUGCCCGUGCCCGUCAUCGUGAACAAUUUCGGGAUGUAUUACUCCUUAGCCAUGGCUAAGCAGAAACUACCAAAGAAAAAAAAGAAGCAUAUUCCGCGGCCACCGCAGCUGGGAUCUCCCAAUUAUUGUAAAUCUGUCGUAAACUCUCCACACCACAGUACUCAGAGUGACACAUGUCCGCUGGCCCAGGAAGAAAUUUUAGAAAUUAACAGAGCAGGUAGGAAACCUCUUAGAGGCAUGUCGAUCUGACCUUUCACCUCCGCCCCCUGUAGCGAUGAUUCCAGAUCCAGUCAGACUGCUUCCUUAGUUCCGUGGGUGACCCCGGACCCCGCACUCAGUCUCGAGGUGUGGAGCCUGGGGGCCCAGGGAGAUGCUGGGCGGCCAAAUUCAGAAGGCGAGAGCCUGCUAGAGGAACCUCACUGGUGCCCCUGGGUAAGGAGGUUGACGUGGUUGGUCUCGUGAUGUUCUAAAGAGACAACGCGGCCCGCCAGGUUGCUGAGGACUAACUUAGCAGGAGCCGGGGGGCUCUGCUCGGCGGGGCAGGAGUCCGGUGUGAGUCUCUGACUCAGGCUACUGAGCCGGUGUUGGGACAGAGUGGGGGCGGGUGUGAUUUGGAAAUGCUAGACAGCCUUUGAUCUGGUCCUUACCACGGCUGCCUUCAGGCUGUGUAGAUGGCAGAGAUGGUGCAUGGGAUCUGGGCAGGAGGGUCCCUUGCAAAGGCAGGCGCAAGGGUUCUCACCCCCAGCAGAGCCUGUCUCCAUAGCUGAGUAGAAUUCCUGCCCUGAUUCGGGCUGCCCAGCUCGAGGUCCUUCCCAGGAGACGCCUGUAGCCCUCCGUGACAAGCUUACUUACCCCAUAGCAUGCCGAACCAACUCAUCUUCUACCACCACUCUAGAGUUUAGCCUUUAUCUUUAGGAACCUGUUGAAGUGACUCUAGCUUUCACGUUGUCUGUUUGGGUUGAUGGUCGAGUGGGAGUUUCCAGUGACCUGAUGGAAGCGGCUGCCGAGCAAAAGCCGAGAGGGGGCCGCCACCCUGGGCAGCUUAGAUGAAAGCGCUACAGACCAGCAACAGCCUCCCACCGAGGGUUCUCCCCGUUUCCAGCGGGAUUUCAAAGGAACAGAUGACCCAGAGAAGAAUGACAGCACUGAGUAAGAAGGAGUGCCAGGUGAGCGGGAGGUUGACGUGACAGUUAGGUGGCAUUUAGUCUAGGAAGGACCUCCCCAUGCCCAGGUCUGGCAGGAGGCUGCUGGCUAGCUCAGCCCCAGGUGGGGAAGUUUCCCCCUGGUUUGGGUGGCCUCCCCCAAUGGAUGAUUGAUUUUCUUCCCUGCUAUCGCGCUCUCUGAUCCACCACCCCAUCCCAAUCCUCUCCUGGCUUUACCCCACAGCUAUGCUGGCCCGAGCACUACCCUCAAGGCCCAUUUCUUUGCCCAUGGGGGCUUCCCAGCCCUUUCACCCUGCCGCAUACCCUCCCCUUCCUGGGAUUUCUGUAGGUGCCUGAGAGGAACAUGGCCAGGAGUGGGCAGGGGUCUCCGAGGCUGAAACAGCUCUGAGCUCUCUGCUUUGGAUUAGCUAGUUACUUGAUUUCAGGAGCUACCAACAGGGCUCUGGGCCUCUAGGGGGAAGGCGUGGGCUGGCCCAGGCCCCAGCUUCCAUGUGGGCCUGGCAAGAAGAGCUGAACCUGAGUGGCAUCACCGUGGCACUACCUGGCCCUUCCUUUGCAUCCUCCCCGACACUGGAUCUUUCAGGAUUGUUGCCCCAAGCGCAGGUGCCCUGGGCCAGCCAGUCAGGAAUCCCCAGUGCUCUCCAGGCAGGCCCAGAUUCCUCUGUACUCUUGGACGAUGACAGUAUUAUCCUGUGCGGAGUCCCCCUGCCCCCCAGGGAGUGCAGAUGUGUUUGUUCAGACGCGCACACCAGCUAAUCCCAGCACACAAAACCUGUAAAACCCAUGCACUCCUGUGGGAUUGCCCGUUGGCUCCACAGUCUCUCCCCAGCCCUGCUUUUGAGAGCCACUUUGCCCUGGUCCCAGGUUUCAGGGGCCCAGACAGUUCUGGCCUGGACAGUCUCUGUGGCUGAGGAAGUAUUUGGUGCCCUCCCAAGCUUGCCCUCUGGAGCUUGGAUGCCUGGAUCCCUCCUGCCUCCCCUGCUUCCCAGCUGUGCUCCCAAGCCCUUCCCAAGCACUCACUUCCCGGUGGUGUUGGUGCUGUCCUGAUAUCCUGACCCCCGAGGCUCCAGCCUCAUCCCUCACCAGAACACUUCUUCCUCCAAAAGCUGGCGUGUGAGACCCCGGCUAUCCACCACCAAGAGGAGCUGCGGUCUUUAGGGGCGUCGUCCCCACCUCUGCACCCCAGAGUUCUUCCCAUUCGCCCUUUUUCCUGCUUGCAGCCAUGCACCUAGAUGGGCAUAGGGUUGGGGUGAGUUUGUGGGAGAGUGAAGGGGAGGCCAGGGGCAAGGAGGGUAAAUGUGGUAGCCCCACAGGAAUUGUGAGAGAUGAGAUGCAGCCCCCCAAGGCCUUUCCAGUCUCACUGUACCCCCAAGGCAGUCUAGUAGCCUCGCCAAAACCUGAGGUUCUCCAGUUCCACUUUUAAAACCAGGGUUAGGGGCUGUGUGUGGCAUGCUGGGUUCUGAGGGCAUCCCUCCCGCCCCCGCCCCCCAGGCCAGCCCCCAGUGGUGCCAGCAGUGCCUGCCCCUCACCUCCACCUCUUGGUCUCGCCUGAAGCCUCAGUCUGCGUGUCUGUCCCAGGGACAAUCUGGUCUCCUCCUCUGUGCUGUGGCUGGCAUGGCCCCAGUGUCUGAGGGCUUGUCCUGGGAGGGGCAUCAAGAAUCCAAUUCUCACCUGGUUGUAGGACCUCUUGGGGGAUGCUAGGAGGGCGCCCUGGCACAGCCAGGGAUUGUCUGGGGCUGAGGAGCCCAGGAGAAGCUACUUCUCUCCCAGAAAGGGGCUCCCUCCUGCAUCUGCAGUCGGACGCCCAGACCGCCCACUCUGGACAGCCCACAGUGCCUCCUCCGUCCUGCCAUGCCCAUUUGCAUGUGUCUUGUCCAUCUCUGCUCCUGUGAUGUGGGUCAGUCCUUUGUGGUGCCACGUCCAGGGCUGCAGGGUCCCACGUCAGUGAGCAGUGGGUGGCCAGGAGGGAGGGGUGGUGGCCGGGCUCCCUUCCUACCCAUGGCACCUAGAACAGCAGUGAGGUCCCAGAGAAGCCCCUGCCUGGGCUCCCUGGGAGCUAACCCUGCAGCCUCUGGGUUAUCUUUGGCAAAGGGGUCUAAAGUCCCCUAUCCCCAGCCGCUCUACUUCUCCUGCUGGGCGGCAGUGGCUGCCCAGUGAGUGGUGCUAUCCAUGGGCGGGGAGGGUGCUGGGCAGAGCUGACUAGGCGGCAGGUGGGGCUAAGAGAGUUUCUGCAGGGACCCAACUGCAGGGUCAGCAGCGUGUGGGCCCUGAGUGGGGUCCUUGUUGUCCUUAGGUGGGCUGUGGGGGAAGUAGCAGAGAAAUGAAGUGAUGCCGGGGGCCAGGCAUGGGUGUUCUUUCCCGUGUUGUUCACAUUUUCUCUCUUUCUCUCUCUCUCCACUAAUCAUGUUUCUCUCUCUCUCCUCGUUUUGUUGCAUGACUUGUGCCGGUUCUCGUGAUUGUUCCCUGCUCGUGUCUCACAGACUGUCCCCAUUUAGCCCGAGACUUUUUUCCUGAGUCCCCAGCUGGGCAGAUCCCUCAGGGCUAAACCCAAGGAGAUGCCCAGCAACCCCCAACCCACCCCAGCCCCGCGUGCGCCCCUCCGGUGCCCGCAGCUGGUGUGAACAGUAAGUACUUUGGCGGUGCCUAGAGACCAGGGCAGAAAAGCCAGCUCUGCUGACUGAGGGCCCAGCCUCGGGUUCUCCUUGCUCCAAAGUUUAAAAAAAAAAUGACCCUCUCGCGGAUGCUCAUCUCAGCCCAUUUCAAGCCUGGAAACCAUCUCUGAGACGCUGUCCAUGCUGCCAUUUCAUCACUGCAGGCCUGUGGGUCUAGUGGGGGCCUGGGGGCCCUGGGCUGGGGGAGGCAGGGCCCCCAGCCUCUGGAAAGCAGGUGGGAAUGGAGGCUUCUAGCCACUCUCUCAUCCAAAGGACGGGGCAGGGGCGGGGGCUCACACCUUUGGCCCUAUUCAUGGGUUCCCCAGAUUUAUACAGUUGGCCCUUCCUUAGUUUCUUUCUUCAAGCCACCCCUCUGGAGUUGGGGAGGGACAAUACCCCAGUUUCUGAAAGCAUCUUAAACCAUAGAUAGACUAACAGCCCAGGGGGCUGGGCCCAUUCACAGAGCAAGCCUUAAACUUCCCCACCCAAUCAUUAGCCCCUCCUCAAAGGUUAGGGUUGAGAGAAGCAGCAGGCCCUAGGGGUGUCCCGGGAAUCCCCCAGGAGAGAAAGUGCCGGGCUGUCAUCCCUCCAGGGGUCCCUGAUGGAUGCUCCUUGUUCCCUGCCUAAAACCGUCCCGAACUUUGGGCCCUUUAGAGAUUGUGGGAGCUGGGAGCCCCCAGGGCCUGGGGGCUUGCGGACAGAGCCAAUGGGCGGGGGCCCAGCAUUCAGAGCCAGAGAAGAGUCUCAGGCGGCACCAUCUCCGCAGAGGCAGAGGCAGAGGCAGAGAGAAGGCACCCCCCUCUGACCCACCCCCUCAGGCAAGAACUGCAGGCUGUGGACACCUCCCCCGGCAGAGGAUGGCCAGCAGAGACUCAGCAAGUCCUCACUCCCCUCCCAGAAGGAGACGCUGCCUGGGAGGACCCACUGUUCUCCCCUUGAGGAAAAUUCAUUCAGGGUGCUAUGGGCCUCAACCCCCACAUUGUCAUCUGCGUCCUCUCCAUACUGUUUCCCUCCCCUCUCCCAACACCCUCCUCCCUCAGCCCGGAGACCCUUGGAUGGAAGAUGGGGCCAGCCAGAGUGGGAGGCAGGACCAGCGUGUCUGUGAGCACAUGUGUGUGCCUGCAGACAUGCCCCAAGACCCCAGAGACGCCCCGACCCCAGUCAUAUGGUGUAGGAGUUACCUUGGCAACUGGCCUUUUUGGUUCAGAGUAAAUUGGGAAGGGAAGCCCCUGGGAUUUGUCAAGAAACGCACUGUACGUGAAAUGCUUUGCCAUCUUGUACGAAAGACUUUUUUUUUAAGUUCCAAAAUUAUGAUGGGAUUUUUUUGGAUUUGCUUUACGAAUAAACCUGAUUGGUCCAUUUC
Symphalangus syndactylus (siamang) is the source of this 7663-nucleotide RNA transcript. It is a transcript of the gene named potassium voltage-gated channel subfamily C member 1, with no coding region annotated. The record is from RefSeq and is a predicted model, not a curated record. Lineage: Eukaryota; Metazoa; Chordata; Mammalia; Primates; Hylobatidae.